ACGUCGAAACUGCGUUGUAGUCGCCGCGAACGCCCCGUACACAAAAACAAACGGCAUCCGUCCGUCGAAUCCCGCGCGGGAGGAAAACGCGGGAUAAUCGAAACGCGGAACCGGAGACCGGGAAAUCCAAUGUGUUUAAAUAACGACGACCAUGCCCCGGCGCGCUGUUCGUUUUCCCACCGUCACCGACGACCUAACACGGCAAACGAACGUUCGGCAGUACCGAACCCGCGCCGUUGGCUACAUUUAAUACGAUAAGCGUGCGCGAAUAAUUGACCCGUUACAUUAUCAAGUUCGAUAUACGGCGAAAAACAUCGCCGGUAUGCCUACGUCCGUUUUUUUUUUUUUUUAACCGGUUCAAUUUUAACGCGACAGUACGUAAAAACACUACUACUCAAAAGCGCUCGGAUUUCGUUUUAAAAUUGAAAUAUCGUAAAAAAAAAAUAAUAAUAAUAAUAAUAAAAAACCAACGCAAUCCUUAAGUCAAUUCAUUUCACGUUUUAAUACUCGCGUCAACAACACAGGUUUGACUAAUGCAAAUUUGCCGUGUUGCGCGCGGUUCGGUGAACAAAUAAUCGUGGGGCGCUGGACAACCUGCAUUAAACGAGGGGUUUUUUUUUUUCUGCAAAAUAUCCGUUUACACGAAGUUAUCGUUUUGAAAUGAGAUCGUGAUAAAAAUAACAAAUGUUACGCCGCGCGUGAAACACUCUGUAUCGCGCACUCGAACGACAUUCUAUAUAUA
Molecule: non-coding RNA, 742 nt
Organism: Cinara cedri
Lineage: Eukaryota; Metazoa; Arthropoda; Insecta; Hemiptera; Aphididae
Source: the annotation of a GenBank genome assembly